CUUCCUGUGUAAGUUCUGGUAGUCCCCUCUCUUCUCUUCCCUUCCUGUAUAAGUUCUGGUAGUCCCCUCUCUUCCCUUCCUGUGUAAGUUCUGGUAGUCCCCUCUCUUCACUUCCUGUGUAAGUUCUUCCCCUCUCUUCUCUUCCCUUCCUGUAUAAGUUCUGGUAGUCCCCUCUCUUCCCUUCUCUUCCUGUGUAAGUUCUGGUAGUCCCCUCUCUUCUCUUCCCUUCCUGUGUAAGUUCUGGUAGUCCCCUCUCUUCCCUUCUCUUCCUGUGUAAGUUCUGGUAGUCCCCUCUCUUCUCUUCCCUUCCUGUGUAAGUUCUGGUAGUCCCUUCUCUUCCCUUCCUGUGUAAGUUCUGGUUGUCCCUUCUGUUCCUGUGUAAGUUCUGGUAGUCCCCUCUCUUCUCUUCCCUUCCUGUGUAAGUUCUGGUUGUCCUCUCUCUUCCCUUCCUGUGUAAGUUCUGGUUGUCCCCUCUCUUCCCUUCCUGUGUAAGUUCUGGUAGUCCCCUCUCUUCCCUUCCUGUGUAAGUUCUGGUAGUCCCCUCUCUUCCCUUCCUGUAUAAGUUCUGGUUGUCCCUUCUCUUCCCUUCCUGUGUAAGUUCUGGUUGUCCCCUCUCUUCCCUUCUCUUCCUGUGUAAGUUCUGGUUGUCCCCUCUCCCUUCCCUUCUCUUCCUGUGUAAGUUCUGGUAGUCUCCUCUCUUCCCUUCCUGUGUAAGUUCUGGUAGUCCCCUCUCUUCCCUUCCUGUAUAAGUUCUGGUUGUCCCCCUCUUCCCUUCUCUUCCUGUGUAAGUUCUGGUUGUCCCCUCUCUUCUUCUUCUCUUCCUGUGUAAGUUCUGGUUGUCCCCUCUCUUCCCUUCCCUUCUCUUCCUGUGUAAGUUCUGGUUGUCCCCUCUCUUCCCUUCCUGUGUAAGUUCUGUCCCCCUCUUCUCUUCCCUUCCUGUGUAAGUUCUGGUUGUCCCCUCUCUUCUCUUCCCUUCCUGUGUAAGUUCUGGUAGUCCCCUCUCUUCCCAUCCUGUGUAAGUUCUGGUAGUCCCCCC
Molecule: long non-coding RNA, 1036 nt
Organism: Oncorhynchus tshawytscha (Chinook salmon)
Lineage: Eukaryota; Metazoa; Chordata; Actinopteri; Salmoniformes; Salmonidae
Source: Ensembl